UGAGGAACAUGACUUUCGGCGGGGGAUAGCCGGCCCAACGGCCGGGUAAUACCGCGUACGACCUUUCGGGGACAUCCCCGGAUGGUGAAAGCAGCAAUGCGCCGAUGGAGUGCCUCGCGGCCUAUCAGCUAGUUGGUGAGGUAACGGCUCACCAGGCAACGGACGGGUAGCUGGUCUGAGAGGAUGGCCAGCCGCAGUUGGGACUGGGACACGGCCCAGACUCCGUACGGGAGCAGC
Molecule: ribosomal RNA, 237 nt
Filed under: uncultured bacterium
Lineage: Bacteria
Description: partial 16S ribosomal RNA
Rfam family: Bacterial small subunit ribosomal RNA
Source: RNAcentral